Molecule: ribosomal RNA, 502 nt
Filed under: uncultured bacterium
Lineage: Bacteria
Description: bacterial SSU rRNA
Rfam family: Bacterial small subunit ribosomal RNA
Source: RNAcentral
AACGAACGCUGGUGGCAUGCCUAACACAUGCAAGUCGAACGCCCUGGUUCGCCAGGGAGUGGCGCACGGGUGAGUAACGCGUGGGAACCUGCCCGGCAGUACGGGACAACCGCGGGAAACUGCGGCUGAUACCGUAUACGGCCUGAGGGCGAAAGAAUUUCGCUGUCGGAGGGGCCCGCGUCGGAUUAGGUAGUUGGUGGGGUAACGGCCUACCAAGCCUGCGAUCCGUAGCUGGUCUGAGAGGAUGAUCAGCCACACUGGGACUGAGACACGGCCCAGACUCCUACGGGAGGCAGCAGUGGGGAAUAUUGGACAAUGGGCGGCAAGCCUGAUCCAGCAAUGCCGCGUGAGUGAUGAAGGCCUUAGGGUUGUAAGCUCUUUCGUCCCGCGACGAUGAUGACGGUAGCGGGAGAAGAAGCCCCGGCUAACUCCGUGCCAGCAGCCGCGGUAAUACGGAGGGGGCGUAGCGUUGUUCGGAAUUACUGGGCGUAAAGGGCGCGCA